This 236-nucleotide ribosomal RNA is filed under the name uncultured bacterium. Its description in RNAcentral is "partial 16S ribosomal RNA". It matches the Rfam family "Bacterial small subunit ribosomal RNA", at positions 28 to 263 of the family's 1533-position model. The record is from RNAcentral.
GACGAACGCUGGCGGCGUGCUUAACACAUGCAAGUCGAGCGGUAAGGCCCUUUCGGGGGUACGACGAGCGGCGAACGGGUGAGUAACACGUGGGUGACCUCGCCCUCAGCUCUGGGAUAAGCCUGGGAAACCGGGUCUAAUACUGGAUAUGACUCCAUGACGCAUGUUGUGGGGUGGAAAGCCUUGUGCGGCUGAGGAUGGGCCCGCGGCCUAUCAGCUUGUUGGUGGGGUGANGG